UAGGGUUCGACCGGGCAACAGCUGACACCACUGCGAAUGCGGUCACUGCCUUGUGGAUUCUGUGGAUUUAUGAUAUUCGCCUCUGUCCGAGCCAGCAGAAAUGCCAAGCGCGCUGUCGUCGCGCGGAACAAAUGUUCCCCUGGUGAGUCGCGCCUAUUUGGUGCUGCUGCAAGCCUUCAAUACGUAGUAAUUUAAACUAUGCCACAAACUUGCUGCGCCCAUUCCCAGAUCAUGGUGAGCCACAAUCGAGGCGCCACGCGCGGCGUGUCAGAACUCAGAAGCCUCUCAGGCUGGUGGGCCAGGUGUGCGGCGGGGACCUACGGGGACUGUUCAGGUCGUCUAGAUGGUCGCCACGCGGCUGCUCGUAGAAGGCUAAGUGCUGAGGUCCGGGUUUGCGGGCAAGGCAUGGCACUG
Molecule: long non-coding RNA, 414 nt
Filed under: Chlamydomonas reinhardtii
Lineage: Eukaryota; Viridiplantae; Chlorophyta; Chlorophyceae; Chlamydomonadales; Chlamydomonadaceae
Description: long non-coding RNA (CREI_LNC000467)
Source: RNAcentral